Molecule: ribosomal RNA, 429 nt
Filed under: Bacteroidota bacterium
Lineage: Bacteria; Pseudomonadati; Bacteroidota
Description: Bacteroidetes bacterium partial 16S ribosomal RNA
Rfam family: Bacterial small subunit ribosomal RNA
Source: RNAcentral
UAGGGAAUCUUCGGCAAUGGGGGGAACCCUGACCGAGCAACGCCGCGUGAGUGAAGAAGGUUUUCGGAUCGUAAAGCUCUGUUGUUAAGGAAGAACGAGUGUGAGAAUGGAAAGUUCAUGCUGUGACGGUACUUAACCAGAAAGGGACGGCUAACUACGUGCCAGCAGCCGCGGUAAUACGUAGGUCCCGAGCGUUGUCCGGAUUUAUUGGGCGUAAAGCGAGCGCAGGCGGUUAGAAAAGUCUGAAGUGAAAGGCAGUGGCUCAACCAUUGUAGGCUUUGGAAACUGUUUAACUUGAGUGCAGAAGGGGAGAGUGGAAUUCCAUGUGUAGCGGUGAAAUGCGUAGUUAUAUGGAGGAACACCGGUGGCGAAAGCGGCUCUCUGGUCUGUAACUGACGCUGAGGCUCGAAAGCGUGGGGAGCGAACAGG